AACCUUGCAGGGCUAUUUUCCUUAGUUCUAUAUCUCCAUGGGACUCUGGGUCUCAAACUAGAUCAGAGCUUUGGGUUGGAGAGAGAGAGUGAGAUUAAUGGAGUGAACGCGGACGGCUUCCAGUCCCUUGAUGACGUGGAGAGAGGAGAGAAAACAGGAGAAUGAUUGUUUUGUUCUCUUCAGAGAAAGUGCUGCUGCAAACAGUCUAAACAGAGAGGAAAGAGGACAUUAAACACUCUGAUAUCCCAGCUACUACACUGGACAGCUGGUCACGUGACUCAGCAGACAACUUAAUCCAGCCACUCUCUAGCAAGACUAUAAGCAGGAAUGUUCAUUAUGGACAUUCUAAUUAUCCAGGGUGUGACUGAGAAAUUAUCAUGGGCUCCCCGUGAAAAUGCAGCUACAAAGAGAAACAACAGUGGAAAAUUAAGAACAAUGCCAGAAUCUCACUUGGACUGGUAAUAAAAUAAGGCUUUCAUAUGGUAUGUUACCUUGCCGACACCAAAGAAGAAAAAGAGAGCAGUGAUCCUUCUUUGUUAAGAAGCAGAACCAAGGCUGUCACAUCUCUUCAACCCCGUGCCAAACAUCGUCUGACUGAGGGAAGUGUCCAUUGGGAUUUUUAAAAGUCUCCGUUAAAGUGAUACAAGCCAUGGGAUUAAUCACAACAUUACAAACCUUUAUUUGCUGCUGCUGCUGCUGUUGCAAAAAAAAAAAAAAAGGAUUUGAAAAUCUGACAAAGGUACGGCUGUCAAAU
This is a long non-coding RNA of Cyprinus carpio (common carp), 754 nucleotides long. Lineage: Eukaryota; Metazoa; Chordata; Actinopteri; Cypriniformes; Cyprinidae. The record is from Ensembl.